GAUGCCUGGGGAUCUUGUUAAAAUGCAGAUUCCGGUUCAGUCAGUCUGUGGGUGGAUGCUGAGAUUUUGCAUUUCUAACAAGCUCCCAGGUGAUGUUGA
Non-coding RNA from Myotis davidii, 99 nucleotides. The record is from Rfam. Lineage: Eukaryota; Metazoa; Chordata; Mammalia; Chiroptera; Vespertilionidae.